This 253-nucleotide ribosomal RNA is filed under the name uncultured bacterium. RNAcentral's name for it is "partial 16S ribosomal RNA". It matches the Rfam family "Bacterial small subunit ribosomal RNA", at positions 524 to 776 of the family's 1533-position model. The record is from RNAcentral.
UACAGAGGUCUCAAGCGUUGUUCGGAUUCAUUGGGCGUAAAGGGUGCGUAGGCGGCGCGGUAAGUCGGGGGUGAAAUCUUGGAGCUUAACUCCGAAACUGCAUUCGAUACUGCCGUGCUUGAGGACUGGAGAGGAGACUGGAAUUUACGGUGUAGCGGUGAAAUGCGUAGAUAUCGUAAGGAAGACCAGUGGCGAAGGCGGGUCUCUGGACAGUUCCUGACGCUGAGGCACGAAGGUCAGGGGAGCAAACGGG